UACUGGCCUGCAAAAUCCCAACU
Molecule: microRNA, 23 nt
Filed under: Haliotis rufescens (red abalone)
Lineage: Eukaryota; Metazoa; Mollusca; Gastropoda; Lepetellida; Haliotidae
Also listed under: 1 other name
Description: Hru-Mir-193-P1_3p (mature (guide))
Source: RNAcentral